This 469-nucleotide ribosomal RNA is filed under the name uncultured Alphaproteobacteria bacterium. Its description in RNAcentral is "bacterial SSU rRNA". It matches the Rfam family "Bacterial small subunit ribosomal RNA", at positions 9 to 524 of the family's 1533-position model. Lineage: Bacteria; Pseudomonadati; Pseudomonadota; Alphaproteobacteria. The record is from RNAcentral.
GAGUUUGAUCGUGGCUCAGAACGAACGCUGGCGGCAGGCCUAACACAUGCAAGUCGAGCGCUGUAGCAAUACAGAGCGGCGCACGGGUGAGUAACACGUGGGAACGUGCCCUUUGGUUCGGAAUAACUCAGGGAAACUUGAGCUAAUACCGGAUGAGCCCUAACGGGGAAAGAUUUAUCGCCGAAGGAGCGGCCCGCGUUGGAUUAGCUAGUUGGUGGGGUAAAAGCCUACCAAGGCAACGAUCCAUAGCUGGUUUGAGAGAACGACCAGCCACACUGGGACUGAGACACGGCCCAGACUCCUACGGGAGGCAGCAGUGGGGAAUCUUGGACAAUGGGGGAAACCCUGAUCCAGCCAUGCCGCGUGAGUGAUGAAGGCCCUAGGGUUGUAAAACUCUUUCGGCGGGGACGAUAAUGACGGUACCCGCAGAAGAAGCUCCGGCUAACUUCGUGCCAGCCGCCGCCGUAAC